This is a long non-coding RNA of Carassius gibelio (silver crucian carp), 2594 nucleotides long. RefSeq lists it as uncharacterized. The record is from RefSeq and is a predicted model, not a curated record. NCBI's taxonomy places the organism in Eukaryota, Metazoa, Chordata, Actinopteri, Cypriniformes, Cyprinidae. The transcript has 5 exons.
CAGAAACGCCAUUACUGUGUGUUUCCCACUGAAGCUAUUAAGCUAACCAUUUAUCAUGCUUAGCGGACGCGUCUGCUUCUUUAAAUUCUCGAGCUCAUUACAGCAGGAUUGAUUCUGAUUGGUUGGCAAUGUUUUUAUCGUUCAUCAGAAAAAAAAUCGUUCUGAAAGUGAUUCCAACGAUAUCGUUUCUCUGUGCUUUUAUCGUUAUAGUUGUGGUGUGGACUCCGCUAUUCUUUAAUAUUGAGAACGAUUUUUAGAACUAUAUCUUUAUCUUUGUCUUUAUAAUUAUCGUGCUUGGUGUGAACGGGCCUUUUGGCAUUGUUUGGAACAGGUGAUACGGUUUCUAAAAGUUUCAUGGAGGAAGUUUGGAGAAAUGUGUGAAAUCAGUAAAGUGCGCAGCGCCGACCGAUCAUCGAUGAAACAGAAACAAACAAAUGCAGAGGAGACGUAAAGGACGACAGAGCGUACAAAUUAAAGAGAUUGGCCUGUCAUAAUCUAUGCCGCUGAGUAAUCAGUGUUGGAUUGUGUUCUGCUACAAUGGCACCCGAAAAAGGACGGCCAGAAAAAGUCCCAUCCCAGGAAGGUGACAUCAUCCUCUUUGCCAAAGAAAGAUGACGACCGCCACACCUGGAGUACUGCAGGGCAAAGAGAAGAUUGAAAUUGUGGAGUCUCAGUGGGAUUAAUUGAAGGUGGAAAGCAAGAGGGAGCGAGAAGUGGAAAGACGUGGAAAACAGGGGAAACAUGGAAAAACAAUCUCUUGCGUCCCUGAGGGAUGGAGUGAUGCGAAGAACUCGUCUAAGGGUGUUGAACAGAGAUGCUUGGAAAGUCUGCUCUCCACCUGAGUGAAGAGUCAAGGUCAUACACGGGCUACGAUUCAUCAACAUCGGCCCAAAUCACAGAUCUACCCGUGAGACACAAAAACAGAUAUCACCCCGAUGUCCUCCUCCUGCUGCUGGAGCAGGGAGAGAUGCCUCUCAAGGUCCACUCGGCGAUCUUCAUGGAGAUUGCCUACCACUCCUACAACCUGGACAGCGGCCUCUGAACAUUCUUCCAGACGAGCCUCAACGAGGAGUGUAUAUAUAUAUUCUGCCGACGGCAUUCAGAAUAUGUGUGCUACCCAAAUAAAAUUGACACAAAAUUAAUUGGUUUAUCAAGCUAGAUGAUGCAUUAGAAAAGGGGCUCAUCUCCUGUUUCCAAAAUGCAUCACACAGUGCUUGAAAAAGCUGUAAACUAAUUCCACAUUGCACAAGGUGCGAACAUCCUUACCCCUGUUUCACACAUACUCCGUCUGCAGUGCGUAUGCAUUGCAGGGCCUUAGCUGGGGUCAGCAGGGACCCGGUGAAGGUUGUACCAGUGGGCCCUGUUUGAAAUUGUUUAAUUUGUAUGUUCGUUUAUUUUUAUUUAUUUGUGCUAUUUACACAAUGUUUAAGUUUUUUUCAAGUUUGUAGGUGUCAAGGUACAGAAAACAAAUAAUUAAAUGUAAAAUAGCACUGGAUAGUCUUCAAUGUAAAAAUGAAAUAUACAAUCAAACAAUUCAGACACCUUCAACAUUUCUCACAUUAUUAUAAUUUUGCUAUAUAUAUCAAAAAUGAUAUCUGGUGUCUGAAUAAUUUUUGGUUUGACUGUUAAAACUACAAAGAAAUUCAGUCAAGAGCAGUGAGUGAUUUUCAUUUUCAUUUUCUUGGAUUAACAUUACAGCAGCCAGCAGCUAAAUUAGGCAAGGACACUUUAAGAGACGAUGAACGCAUCCAAUAUAAUUCACAUCCCAUUUUUUUCCUCAACUGUUUACUUUCACUUAAGAAAUAACUGACAGUUUUUUCGAGCAUAAUUUCCAAGGUGGAUAUUUUUACAUAUUUUGUAUGUAUUUGUCGGCACAAGAGCAAAAAUAAGCAAAUUCGAUGUUCAAGUGUUUUGAGACGCCUUUCUCUGCGUGAGCCCUUAACACCAGAACACCUCAGUGCUGAAUUGGUCUCUUUCACAUCUUUUUGUUUGUUCAAACUGCGAUUUGUAUUUGUUCGUUCAGGUGCAGGAGGGACUUCGAGGAGAACUUUGCAGAAGUGAGCUCGGUUCAGUGUCGCAGUCCGUGAUACGCGGCUCUCUCUCUCUCCGCACCGAACACAGCACGCGAGUAACCAGCUACUCUGUUCAGCUUUUUCGCGUCUUGUGUUUGGAUGCUUUAAUGUUUAAAUUGACAAGCGAUAAGGGUUAAAACAUGUGAAAAAGAUAAGCUUUCGUGACGAUGCGCAGCAGUGGCCCGCCAACUGUCCUGAGCAUCUUUUUAGGCUGUCCUUAGCCAGUCGGUUAUAUAAAUUUCUUCAAAAUCUUUGAAAACCUGCAUGACAUUCUUUGCAAGCUGUUCUUUCACCACAAUAAAAGUAAAUGGUGACAAUGGCUGUCAAGUAAACAAGCUACUGUAGGUUGUCUGAAGACUUGAGUUGUAUAGAAUACUUUUAUGACAGUUUGAUGUGUCUAUUUUGAUGCCUUUUGGAUUUGUUUACUUUCACUGAUUGAAAGAGUGGCAUGAACAUUCUGCUAAACAUCUACAACCCCCCCCCCCAUAUUAUCUCAAUAAAAUAUUUAUUUGACAUACUGAA